AUGCCUCGUCAUCUAAUUAGUGACGCGCAUGAAUGGAUUAACGAGAUUCCUACUGUCCCUAUCUACUAUCUAGCGAAACCACAGCCAAGGGAACGGGCUUGGAAUAAUUAGCGGGGAAAGAAGACCCUGUUGAGCUUGACUCUAGUCUGGCAGUGUAAGGAGACAUAAGAGGUGUAGCAUAAGUGGGAGAUAUAUUAGUUUCGGCUAAAUCUAUCAAAAAUGAAAUACCACUACUCUUAUUGUUUCCUUACUUACUUGAUUAAAUGGAGCGUGUAUCAUUAACUUAGCCAUUACAUGAAUAUAUUUAUAUAUUCAAUGGUAUUUUGUUUUGAUGCGAGCUUCUUGUUUAAAGUACCAAGAGUUUGUUAUAUACACCAAACAAAUAUCAAUUAAAUUUUCUUUUCAUUAAUAAUGGGUUGUUAAAUAUUAAAUGAAUUUGGUAUAACUAUUAUACUUAGGUAUGAUCCAAUUCAAGGACAUUGCCAGGUGGGGAGUUUGACUGGGGCGGUACAUCUCUCAAAUAAUAACGGAGGUGUCCCAAGGCCAGCUCAGUGCGGACAGAAACCACACAUAGAGCAAAAGGGCAAAUGCUGACUUGAUCUCGGUGUUCAGUACAUACAGAGACAGCAA
Molecule: ribosomal RNA, 630 nt
Filed under: Myioscaptia inopinata
Lineage: Eukaryota; Metazoa; Arthropoda; Insecta; Diptera; Tabanidae
Description: eukaryotic LSU rRNA
Rfam family: Eukaryotic large subunit ribosomal RNA
Source: RNAcentral